ACGGGAAGCCGGUGAAAUGCCGGCACGGCACCCGCCACGGUGACCGGGGACGAACCUGAGCGAACAUCCCACUGAGGUUGCCUAUCAAGCGCCUCGGGAAGGGGCUCGGGGGAGGAUGAUCCGGAAGUCCGGAGACCG
RNAcentral lists this non-coding RNA (138 nucleotides) under Labilithrix luteola. Lineage: Bacteria; Pseudomonadati; Myxococcota; Polyangiales; Labilitrichaceae. The record is from RNAcentral.